RNAcentral lists this ribosomal RNA (468 nucleotides) under uncultured bacterium. RNAcentral's name for it is "partial 16S ribosomal RNA". It matches the Rfam family "Bacterial small subunit ribosomal RNA", at positions 28 to 507 of the family's 1533-position model. The record is from RNAcentral.
GACGAACGCUGGCGGCGUGCUUAACACAUGCAAGUCGAACGGAAAGGCCCUGCUUUUGUGGGGUGCUCGAGUGGCGAACGGGUGAGUAACACGUGAGUAACCUGCCCUUGACUUUGGGAUAACUUCAGGAAACUGGGGCUAAUACCGGAUAGGAGCUCCUGCUGCAUGGUGGGGGUUGGAAAGUUUCGGCGGUUGGGGAUGGACUCGCGGCUUAUCAGCUUGUUGGUGGGGUAGUGGCUUACCAAGGCUUUGACGGGUAGCCGGCCUGAGAGGGUGACCGGCAACAUUGGGACUGAGAUACGGCCCAGCCUCCUACGGGAGGCAGAAGUGGGGAAUAUUGCACAAUGGGCGGAAGCCUGAUGCAGCAACGCCGCGUGCGGGAUGACGGCCUUCGGGUUGUAAACCGCUUUCGCCUGUGACGAAGCGUGAGUGACGGUAAUGGGUAAAGAAGCACCGGCUAACUACGUG